RNAcentral lists this ribosomal RNA (250 nucleotides) under uncultured bacterium. Its description in RNAcentral is "partial 16S ribosomal RNA". It matches the Rfam family "Bacterial small subunit ribosomal RNA", at positions 524 to 773 of the family's 1533-position model. The record is from RNAcentral.
UACAGAGGGUGCGAGCGUUAAUCGGAAUUACUGGGCGUAAAGCGCGCGUAGGCGGUUGUGUAAGUUGGAGGUGAAAUCCCCGGGCUUAACCUGGGCACUGCCUUCAAAACUGCACGGCUAGAGUACGGGAGAGGGGGGUAGAAUUCCAGGUGUAGCGGUGAAAUGCGUAGAGAUCUGGAGGAAUACCGAUGGCGAAGGCAGCCCCCUGGCCUGAUACUGACGCUGAGGUGCGAAAGCAUGGGGAGCAAAC